UGGGGGUCAAUGUAAUCGACUUAAUCCCUUCACCCAAAUUUGAGGCCCUGUGCUUCCAGUAGAAAGAAUUAUCAUUAUUAUUAUUAUUAUUAUUAUUAUUAUUAUUAUUGUUGUUGUUGUUGUUGUUGUUGUUGUUGUUGUUAAGAUGUCGAGCAGACAGAAUCGUUAGCACGCCGGGUAAAAUGCCUCGCGGCAUUUCGUCAGUCUUUACGUUCUGAUUUCAAAUUCCGCUGAGGUCGACUUUACCUUUCAUCCUUUCGGAGUCGACAAAUUAAGUACCAGUUGAGUACUGUGGUCGAUAUAACCAAUUGUCCUCCUCCCCCAAAUUUCAGGCCUUGCGCCUAUAAUAGAAACGAUUAUUAUUAUUAUUAUUAUUAUUUUUUUAUUAUUAUUAUUAUUAUUAUUAUUAUUAUUAUUAUUAUUAUUAUUUUUAUUAUUUUUAUUAUUAUUAUUUUUAUUAUUAUUAUUAUUUUUAUUAUUAUUAUUAUUAUUAUUAUUAUUAUUAAAAAGGCGGUGAGCUGGCAGAAUCGUUAGUACGCUGGGCGAAAUGCUUAGCGGUAUUUCGUCUGCCGCUACGUUCUGAGUUCAAAUACCACCGAAGUCAACGUUGCCUUUCAUCCUUUCGGAAUCGAUUAAAUAAGUACCAGUUACGGACUGGCGUAAUCGACUUAAUCCCUUCACCGAAAUUUGAGGCCUUGCGCUUCCAAUAGAAAGGACUAUUAUUAAAACAGCGUGCUGGCAGAAUCGUUAACACGCUGAGCAAAAUGCUUAGCGGUAUUCCGUCUGCGCUACGUUCUGAGUUCAAAUUCCACCGAGGUCGACUUUGCCUUUCAUUCUUUUGAGGUCGAUAAAAUAAGCACCAGUUAAACUCUGGGUUAAUGUAAAUGUAAAAUCAGUACCAGUUACGCAUUGGAGUCGAUGUGAUCGACUUAAUUCCUUCCCGCAAAAUUUGCGGCCUUGUGCUUCCAGUCGAUAGGAUUAUUAUUAUUAUUAUUAUUAUUAUUAUUAUUGAGUGAGAGAGUAGUGCAUGCCAUCAAAGUGACACUGGGGUAAAAUAUACGAAGCCCAUUAUACCCAUCAUGACUACCCGUCUGAUAAGGGUACACCAAUCACAUGCAUCACAACCAUAUGUGCGCGACACGGUGAUCUCACAUCAAGAUAAACAUCGCAUGACCCCCGCCGGUGGGGUUCAGUUACAAUUUUCUUCAGGUCGAGUAGCCCAUCCCGCUCAAAAGUUCCCAGAAUAAGGUUUGUUUAAGGAUGUUGAGCAAAACACCCAUGUUUCCAAACGUGAAUUAUUCAAACCUCAAAGAAUUCCUCUCAACACAUGGCUAUGAUGCCCCCCCACUACUUCUGCUCCUGAUCAGAGAUGCACAUAUCGUCAGCCACCAGGGAACAUGCUCAACUGGUUAAGGUCAAACAAGUGACAAGCAAAUCUGUGGUAUUAAGCAGAAUAUUUGCUGUAGCCCAUCUUUUAUACCAAGUCAAAACAAUGAACAUGAUAACACUGCCAAUCAAUUAAGAUCAGAAGCCAUGAGAGCCAUUGCUUGGUACAGCAUCCGGGCAUUUAUUAUUAUUAUUAUUAUUAUUAUUAUUAUUAUUAUUAUUAUUAUUUUCUUUUUAUGUAAGUGCUCAAAGUUCAGGUAAGCUGCUGGCGAGUCGUAUCCACGACCCGGUUUCAAAUGCUACUUAACUGCAUUUCCACUGCUAAUGGCCAUGGGUGAAAGACACAACCAGAACCAUUUACCAUUACCACCUUUAUUAAAUCUUGGUUUGUGCCUUGUCCGAUAAAACCUAUUCCUUCCACUAUAUUUUCAUUUAUCCUUGCUCUUUGUUUCUUUUCUUAGUUUCUUUCUUUCAACGUUUACUUCUAGCAGUGUGUGGGGAGAUGGGGGUGGGUGGCGAAUAUCACAACUCUGUCACUGUAAAAACAGAGCCUAUCAAUCACAAACUUUGUUACAAGAUAAUUUUCAGUAAAAGAAAUAAAUUUUUUCUAAAACGUGACAUAACCUUGUAGAGAAAUAAAUUCAAUCCAUGAUAAACAAAACUGUAAUAUAACAUUUUAACAAUUGUUUGUUUAUUCAUUACCUGCUGGACGAUAAAUAUUAUCACCAUCAUCAUCAACAUCAUCCAUCCAUCUUCAUCAUCAUCAUCAUCAUCAUCAUCAUCAUCAUCAUCAUCGCAAUCAUCAUCGUUUUGGCGUUUACUUUUCCAUACUUGCAGGUCGGGGUCGGACACAAUUUGUUGAGGUAGAUUUUCUACAGUCGAACGUCCUUGUCACCAACCCUCACUCGUUUUCAACUAUCACACCAUAUUAAGUGACACCUUAUAGCAGACGACUGUUAUAUGUUCAAUGUCCGGAGUUUUAUCCACGCAUGCUCAGGGAUUAGUUCCGGAAGGAAUACAGGAAGAGUCUCAUGCGCAUGCAUAGAGUUCGACACCCAGCUUUGGCGCCUUUUCUCACUCUCUUCGUUGACUGAUCUCCGUCGAGUCAAGACGUCCAACAGAGCUCCCUCACAUGUCAGCACCAGAGCUUCACAAAUAACCACGGAAAUCAUUCAGAAGGCGUCUCAGUAACCUAGGGCGACGAGCUACCGAAUUCCCUCCAAGCGUGAACUGAAUUCCACUGGAAAUAAAUAUUGUUAUGUUGUUCAGAAUCUGCGUUCCGUUGUUUCUA
Long non-coding RNA from Octopus bimaculoides (California two-spot octopus), 2677 nucleotides. NCBI's taxonomy places the organism in Eukaryota, Metazoa, Mollusca, Cephalopoda, Octopoda, Octopodidae. The record is from RefSeq and is a predicted model, not a curated record.